CAUUACACAUUAUUAUGCAUGGUCUCUUGAGCAUUUAAAUGGGAAUUCUUUCAGCUUCAUUUGGCUUCCAAUUUGUUUUGACUGUGGAAGCUGAUUAAUAUAGGUUAUAUCUGCCUGGCAAAAUCGAUGACCUGUAACUUACCAGUUACCAGGUUUUCGCAAAUGCAGUUCUUGCUUAACAAAUAAUAAUCUAUCCAUCAUCCUGUUCCCCACCCGAUCAAUGCUUUUGCAGCUAAAUAAGUUUUUUUAAUGCUUUUAUUGCAUUGUUUGAAUAGUUACCAGGUUUUUGCAAAUGCAGUUCUUGCUUAACAAAUAAUCAUCCAUCCAUCAUCCUGUUCCCCACCCGAUCAAUUGAUAUUUGAUAUCAAUUCCUACUUUGCCUUUUUAGGGUAGCUACUUGAGCUUUUGCAGCUAAAUAAGUUUUUUAAUGCUUUCAUUGCAUUGUUUGAAUAGUUGACAGAGUCUGGAUGCUGAUACAUGUAAAAUGGGCAAUGUCUGAAGUUGCGACCAGAAGCAGAUUCUAACUUGAUCUAGAUCAGUUGCCAUGGCAUUACUGCAGACAGACCUGCUUAUUGCAGUUUUAUCACUGGCAGUUCUGUAUUCUUUUGUCUCACCUGAUGCCCAAGGUAUUAUGCUAAUUGUCACUUUAUAAGUCAUCCAACUGGUGUAAAAUAUGCACUCAUUUUGUGUCUCGCUACAUCUUUCUUUCUGCACAUUUUGAGUUCUUAUAUCAAUAAAAGAAAGUAGAAUAUAGGCUGGUCUGUGGAGUCUUUUGGGCUUUAUUAUCAUAGGAUGGAAACUAUUAAGCGAAGAAUCAUUGUCCAUAGAGUGAAUGACCAGAAAGGUUUCAUGAAAGAAAUUUCCUGUGUACCUUUCUCCCCUCUCCCUAUCCGCAGAAAUGGAAUACAUUUUGGUUUCUCAUUCUUGUUCCACA
This 934-nucleotide long non-coding RNA is filed under the name Olea europaea (common olive). RNAcentral describes it as "long non-coding RNA (OEUR_LNC012393)". The record is from RNAcentral. Lineage: Eukaryota; Viridiplantae; Streptophyta; Magnoliopsida; Lamiales; Oleaceae.